This 365-nucleotide long non-coding RNA is filed under the name Physcomitrium patens. RNAcentral's name for it is "long non-coding RNA (PPAT_LNC007220)". The record is from RNAcentral. Lineage: Eukaryota; Viridiplantae; Streptophyta; Bryopsida; Funariales; Funariaceae.
CUUUUGGAUUGUUCUCAAUUUCAAUCUUAAAUGUUUCAAAAUCAAUCACUCAUACAAUAGCAUAUUUUCUGAUCUCAAUUAUGACUUUCUCUUCAAUGAUAUUAAGCAAAAUAUUAUCAUGCUUUAAAUCACAAUAUAUAAUAUGCAUGUUAUUUAAGUAACAUGUACCUUUUGAAAUUUAAUAUGUGAUAUUAAUAAAAAAAAAUGUAAGUAUAUACUUUCUCCUAAAAUCUCGCUUAAACUUAGUUGCAUCAAUUAUAUCUCUAAAUACAAAUAUUUUCUUUUUUUCCUUAGGUGCAUAACAUUUUUCAUUCACAUUAUUAUAACUAUUUAUAUUAAAAUAAUAUUUUAUUAAAUUAAGAUGG